UCAGGCUGAAGACCUUGCCGGAUUAGCUGAGAGGUGGUGCAUGGCCGUCGUCAGUUCGUACUGUGAAGCAUCCUGUUAAGUCAGGCAACGAGCGAGACCCACGCCCACAGUUGCCAGCGUACUCUCUGGAGUGACGGGUACACUGUGGGACCGCCGCUGCUAAAGCGGAGGAAGGAAUGGGCAACGGUAGGUCAGUAUGCCCCGAAUAUCCCGGGCUACACGCGAGCUACAAUGGUUGGUACAAUGGGUAUCUACCCCGAAAGGGGACGGGAAUCUCCUAAAACCAAUCUUAGUUCGGAUUGAGGGCUGCAACUCGCCCUCAUGAAGCUGGAAUCCGUAGUAAUCGCGUUUCAACAGAACGCGGUGAAUACGUCCCUGCUCCUU
RNAcentral lists this ribosomal RNA (384 nucleotides) under uncultured Methanosaeta sp. Its description in RNAcentral is "bacterial SSU rRNA". It matches the Rfam family "Archaeal small subunit ribosomal RNA", at positions 954 to 1338 of the family's 1478-position model. Lineage: Archaea; Methanobacteriati; Methanobacteriota; Methanomicrobia; Methanotrichales; Methanotrichaceae. The record is from RNAcentral.